RNAcentral lists this ribosomal RNA (301 nucleotides) under uncultured bacterium. RNAcentral describes it as "partial 16S ribosomal RNA". It matches the Rfam family "Bacterial small subunit ribosomal RNA", at positions 509 to 808 of the family's 1533-position model. The record is from RNAcentral.
CAGCAGCCGCGGGAAUACGUAGGGUGCAAGCGUUAAUCGGAAUUACUGGGCGUAAAGCGUGCGCAGGCGGUUAUAUAAGUCAGAUGUGAAAUCCCCGGGCUCAACCUGGGAACUGCAUUUGAGAUUGUAUGGCUAGAGUGUGUCAGAAGGGGGGUAGAAUUCCACGUGUAGCAGUGAAAUGCGUAGAUAUGCGGAGGAAUACCGAUGGCGAAGGCAGCCCCCUGGGAUAACACUGACGCUCAUGCACGAAAGCGUGGGGAGCAAACAGGAUUAGAUACCCCUGUAGUCCCUGUCUCUUAUA